Molecule: ribosomal RNA, 450 nt
Filed under: uncultured bacterium
Lineage: Bacteria
Description: partial 16S ribosomal RNA
Rfam family: Bacterial small subunit ribosomal RNA
Source: RNAcentral
GUGGGGAAUUUUGGACAAUGGGGGCAACCCUGAUCCAGCCAUUCCGCGUGAGUGAAGAAGGCCUUCGGGUUGUAAAGCUCUUUCGGCAGGAACGAAACGGUGAGCUCUAACAUAGCUCGCUAAUGACGGUACCUGAAGAAGAAGCACCGGCUAACUACGUGCCAGCAGCCGCGGUAAUACGUAGGGUGCGAGCGUUAAUCGGAAUUACUGGGCGUAAAGCGUGCGCAGGCGGUUGUGUAAGACAGGUGUGAAAUCCCCGGGCUUAACCUGGGAACUGCGCUUGGGACUGCACGGCUAGAGUAUGGCAGAGGGGGGUGGAAUUCCACGUGUAGCAGUGAAAUGCGUAGAGAUGUGGAGGAACACCGAUGGCGAAGGCAGCCCCCUGGGCCAAUACUGACGCUCAUGCACGAAAGCGUGGGGAGCAAACAGGAUUAGAAACCCUGGUAGUCC